Regulatory RNA element from Firmicutes bacterium CAG:882, 163 nucleotides. Lineage: Bacteria; Bacillati; Bacillota. The record is from Rfam.
UUUGGGAGAAGCCUAGAUAUUCUUAGAACGCUGUUCGCUACCCAGCCACAGCCGACAGGAGGUCGGGUGAGAUGCCACCGCACACGGAUGUGCGAUUGGCAUCGUUGGCGGAAAGCUGUUAAAUAUUACUCAGAGUUCUUAGAAUAUCUUAGCUUCGUACAAC